RNAcentral lists this ribosomal RNA (232 nucleotides) under uncultured bacterium. RNAcentral's name for it is "partial 16S ribosomal RNA". It matches the Rfam family "Bacterial small subunit ribosomal RNA", at positions 118 to 347 of the family's 1533-position model. The record is from RNAcentral.
UGAGCAAUCUGCCCUUCUCAUCGGAAUAAGAGUUGGAAACGACGUCUAAUGCCGAAUACGACCUCCUUUCGCAUGAUCGGAGGUGGAAAGCUCCGGCGGAGAAGGAUGAGCUCGCGGCCUAUCAGCUAGUUGGUGUGGGUAAUGGCCCACCAAGGCGACGACGGGUAGCCGGCCUGAGAGGGUGACCGGCCACACUGGGACUGAGACACGGCCCAGACUCCUACGGGAGCAG